Molecule: ribosomal RNA, 931 nt
Filed under: uncultured bacterium
Lineage: Bacteria
Description: bacterial SSU rRNA
Rfam family: Bacterial small subunit ribosomal RNA
Source: RNAcentral
UGUGCCAGCAGCCGCGGUAAUACGGAGGGUGCGAGCGUUAAUCGGAAUUACUGGGCGUAAAGGGCGCGUAGGCGGCGUGAUCAGUCAGAUGUGAAAGCCCCGGGCUUAACCUGGGAACUGCAUUUGAUACUGUCAGGCUAGAGUUUGAUAGAGGGGAGUGGAAUUUCCGGUGUAGCGGUGAAAUGCGUAGAGAUCGGAAGGAACACCAGUGGCGAAGGCGACUCCCUGGAUUAAAACUGACGCUGAGGUGCGAAAGCGUGGGUAGCAAACAGGAUUAGAUACCCUGGUAGUCCACGCUGUAAACGAUGAGAACUAGCCGUUGGACGCGAACAAGUGUUCAGUGGCGCAGCUAACGCGAUAAGUUCUCCGCCUGGGGAGUACGGCCGCAAGGUUAAAACUCAAAUGAACUGACGGGGGCCCGCACAAGCGGUGGAGCAUGUGGUUUAAUUCGAUGCAACGCGAAGAACCUUACCUGCCCUUGACAUCCAGAGAAUCUGUUAGAGAUAGCGGAGUGCCUUCGGGAACUCCAAGACAGGUGCUGCAUGGCUGUCGUCAGCUCGUGUCGUGAGGUGUUGGGUUAAGUCCCGCAACGAGCGCAACCCUUGCCAUUAGUUGCUACAUUCAGUUGAGCACUCUAAUGGGACUGCCGGUGACAAACCGGAGGAAGGUGGGGAUGACGUCAAGUCCUCAUGGCCCUUAUGGGUAGGGCUACACACGUCAUACAAUGGCGCGUACAGAGGGUUGCCAACCCGCGAGGGGGAGCCAAUCCCAGAAAGCGCGUCGUAGUCCGGAUUGAAGUCUGCAACUCGACUUCAUGAAGUCGGAAUCGCUAGUAAUCGCAGAUCAGCAUGCUGCGGUGAAUACGUUCCCGGGCCUUGUACACACCGCCCGUCACACCAUGGGAGUGGGUUUCACCAGAAGCAGGUUGCCU